This 75-nucleotide transfer RNA is filed under the name Chloroflexota bacterium. RNAcentral's name for it is "Chloroflexi bacterium tRNA-Glu". It matches the Rfam family "tRNA". Rfam says of the family: Transfer RNA (tRNA) molecules are approximately 80 nucleotides in length. RNAcentral also lists the same sequence under 1 other name. Lineage: Bacteria; Bacillati; Chloroflexota. The record is from RNAcentral.
GCCCCCAUCGUCUAGCGGCUAGGACAUCGCCCUCUCAAGGCGGAAACAGGGGUUCGAUUCCCCUUGGGGGCACCA